Molecule: long non-coding RNA, 1492 nt
Organism: Myotis lucifugus (little brown bat)
Lineage: Eukaryota; Metazoa; Chordata; Mammalia; Chiroptera; Vespertilionidae
Exons: 7
Source: RefSeq, a predicted model, not a curated record
UUGGCCUCAGCCCUUAGCCACACACCCUCCUGACAACAUGAGACCCAGCAGCUUCUUGGUUCUGGCGGUUCUCCUCGUCCUCGGCAUGCUGGUGGGACAGGCAGCUGUCAGUGGAGAAGCUUACCAAGUUCUGGACAAAGGACAAGUUACACGUCCAGGCAUGGGGCAUGGUCCAGUCAAAGUUCCACCAAAGCCUGGCUCCUGCCCCAGGAUUCAGAUGAAGUGCGCCAUGAUGAAUCCCCCUAACAAAUGUAUGAUGGAUUCUCAAUGUGCCGGGAACAAGAAGUGCUGUAUGGGCUAUUGUGGAAGAGUCUGUAUGACGCCCAAGAACUGAAUGGAGGAAGAGGUGGAGCCUGCUCUUGUUGCACCAGUGAAGACCCAGGACUGCAGUCCCUGGUCCCUACAGCAUUUGAAUGCCUUUCUCACAUGGCUCAUUCUUCCUCUCAUCGAGGUUGCCUAAACCUGGGCUGCUUCUCUCAGUGAUUUCCUAAUAAAAGACUGCUUUCUACUCCAUUUGUUUGGCUCCUAUGACUUCUAUGCUCAUGGAAGCUCCUGGAGGAUGUUGACUAAGUCAGGAGGACUAGUAGCCUUAAAAAAAAAAAAAAAAAAAAAAAAAAGGCUUGUUGAUCUAUUCAUUUUACCUGAACCAGAAAUCAAGUUCAUAGCAAGAAUUCCAGGAUAAUAGAAUGAUUUGAACCAAAGUGGAGAAUCAAAGAUAAUGCAAUUUGGGGAGAAGAUAAGAACAAUUAAACGGUAAAUGGACACUCCAUAAAAGGCCAAGUGUUCUGCAUCAUUUUGGUGUCCUGUCAAUAAUCUUUCUGCUCCUCUAAAUCCUGGCAGCAUUUCCCUUCUGGGGGAAGAUCUCAAAUAUGACCAGAGUUGUGCUUUCGAUGGCUUGUAAUUUGGAAACUGUGUUUAACAAGUUGUUUCCUGUCCAUUCUUCUACGAGAGUGAUGGAAGGGAAGUGUCCAAAGGAGAUCUGAGAAUUUCAAACAAACAAAACAAAAAUCUUGGUGUGUGUAUUGGAUGAAGUCCACAAAUUGACGAACAUGCAUUAGCAGAUGGGACGUCAGUAGAUGUGGUCAAACCUGGACACUGUCCGGAGUUCCCACUUCGCUGCCCUUUCACGAUGAUACCGCUGUGCCGGCGCGAUAGAAUCUGCAAGAAGGACAAGAAGUGUUGCUUCUACAACUGUAGAUAUCAGUGUAUGGUGCCGUGGGAGAGUCUGGAUUGAGGUAGAAAUCCCUUCUUACCGGGCCCUGAGAAGACACUGGUAGAACAGGCUCCGACUCGGAUAACUGGUCUCCAACUCUUCCCUGUUCUCCUCACCCCCCAGACUUCCUUCAUCAGAGUUCAAUGCUUAUUACUAUGAAAGCAACACAAAGAAAUAAAGUGUUAUCUACCUGAAACAAUUGUCCAUGAAAAUCUAUGACUGCGGGGUCGCUCUGUGCUCCGCCUUCCGGGAAGAUCCUUGAGGGGUCUUCUGACACUC